GGGGGUGUAGCUCAAUUGGUAGAGCGUCGGUCUCCAAAACCGAAGGCUGGGGGUUCGAUUCCCUCCGCCCCUGCCA
This 76-nucleotide transfer RNA is filed under the name Alphaproteobacteria bacterium CG11_big_fil_rev_8_21_14_0_20_44_7. RNAcentral's name for it is "tRNA-Trp". It matches the Rfam family "tRNA". From Rfam's summary of the family: Transfer RNA (tRNA) molecules are approximately 80 nucleotides in length. Their secondary structure includes four short double-helical elements and three loops (D, anti-codon, and T loops). Further hydrogen bonds mediate the characteristic L-shaped molecular structure. tRNAs have two regions of fundamental functional importance: the anti-codon, which is responsible for specific mRNA codon recognition, and the 3' end, to which the tRNAs corresponding amino acid is attached (by aminoacyl-tRNA synthetases). tRNAs cope with the degeneracy of the genetic code in two manners: having more than one tRNA (with a specific anti-codon) for a particular amino acid; and 'wobble' base-pairing, i.e. permitting non-standard base-pairing at the 3rd anti-codon position. The record is from RNAcentral. Lineage: Bacteria; Pseudomonadati; Pseudomonadota; Alphaproteobacteria.